This 468-nucleotide ribosomal RNA is filed under the name uncultured bacterium. Its description in RNAcentral is "partial 16S ribosomal RNA". It matches the Rfam family "Bacterial small subunit ribosomal RNA", at positions 28 to 507 of the family's 1533-position model. The record is from RNAcentral.
GACGAACGCUGGCGGUGUGCUUAACACAUGCAAGUCGAACGGUAAGGCCCUUUCGGGGGUACACGAGUGGCGAACGGGUGAGUAACACGUGAGUAACCUGCCCUCAUCUCUGGGAUAACAGUCGGAAACGGUUGCUAAUACUGGAUAUGAGCUUGCAAGGCAUCUUGUGGGUUGGAAAGAUUUUUUUUGGUUGGGGAUGGACUCGCGGCCUAUCAGCUUGUUGAUGAGGUAGUGGCUCACCAAGGCUUCGACGGGUAGCCGGCCUGAGAGGGCGACCGGCCACAUUGGGACUGAGAUACGGCCCAAACUCCUACGGGAGGCAGCAGUGGGGAAUAUUGCACAAUGGACGGAAGUCUGAUGCAGCAACGCCGCGUGCGGGAUGACGGCCUUCGGGUUGUAAACCGCUUUCAAUUGUGACGAAGCUUUUUUGUGACGGUAGCAGUAGAAGAAGCACCGGCUAACUACGUG